This is a long non-coding RNA of Mastomys coucha (southern multimammate mouse), 592 nucleotides long. RefSeq lists it as uncharacterized. The record is from RefSeq and is a predicted model, not a curated record. Lineage: Eukaryota; Metazoa; Chordata; Mammalia; Rodentia; Muridae. The transcript is spliced from 3 exons.
ACGCAGCCUCAGGAGACCUCAGCUGGUGAGCAAAACGAGAGUCCACAUAACACGUUUGUUUUUCUUGUUUUCUUUCCAAAACUCCAAGGCACAUUCAGCAACAGCCCAGUCUUGCUCCUUGAUAAUGAAGGCCUUUUGACCUGGGAGACCUCCACAAAGCGGCUCUUUUCUGGAAGCAAUAAGAACACCUGCAGGAGAAGCCAGGCUCCAAGUCUUGUCACUGCCUUUCCCUAGGAUGAGCCUGGACCAAAGAUGUUUUGCCUACACUUACAUCUAUGCACCGUAUGUGUGCAGUUCCUUCAGAGGCCAGAAGCUGUUGAAUCCCAUGGGACUGGAGUUACAGACCGUUGUGAGCUGCCAUCAGAACCCUCCAAAGGACUAACAACCCAGAUCAAAAGGAAAUUGUUUAUCUCUCCUUUGGAAGAAGCCUGAGACAAGUAGGGAGAUCAGCACAGCAGUGGAGCCUGCUUCCCAGGACCUCAGAGUUCUCUUCUCUGGGCUCCACCCUUGGGAGAAGCUGCCUCUCCAAAGCCUCACAGCCAAGAUACCUUCUACAGUUUCAGAAACAACAACAACAACAACAAAAAAAAAC